Molecule: ribosomal RNA, 1101 nt
Filed under: Triticum aestivum (bread wheat)
Lineage: Eukaryota; Viridiplantae; Streptophyta; Magnoliopsida; Poales; Poaceae
Description: partial small subunit ribosomal RNA
Source: RNAcentral
AUGAGCCCAACAGACUGGCUCUCUGACCCAGUCGAUGCCAUCAUCCCCUAUCCGCAUCAGCUGCUUCUCGCAACUCAGCCGGAAGCAUCGUUUAGAAUGGCGCUCGCUAGGGUUUCAUCUUCUUCCCGCCUCCUCCUACUCCCCUCCUCCCUGCUCCAAUCCUUCCUGCGCCCCUUCUCUACCUCCUCUGUCUCGGCUCGUCGCCUCUCUCACCCAAGAAGCCUCCCCAUCGAUGCCAGUCUCUCCCAAGCUUCUCCUCUCCCUGCUGCUGCGAGGGAGGAGGGGAAGGUGGCGGAAGCCCCGAGGUCCACCUCCAGGCGGCCGUGGAAGCCCACGUGCUUGUACUACACCCAGGGAAAAUGCACCAUGAUGGAUGAUGCUUUGCAUCUUGAAAAAUUCAAUCAUAAUUUGUCGAUGGACCUACCGGUGAAUGCCUCAGCUGCAGAUAAAGUGAAACCUCAGAAACUGGAUUAUUUUUUAGUUCUUGAUUUGGAGGGAAAGGUUGAAAUUCUUGAAUUUCCGGUUGUAAUGAUUGACGCACAUAGCAUGGAGUUCAUCGAUUCAUUUCACAGAUUUGUGCGCCCAACUGCAAUGAGUGAGCAACGAAUAAAAGAAUAUAUAGAAGGGAAAUAUGGAAAAUUUGGAGUUGACCGUGUAUGGCAUGACACUGCUAUCCCUUUCUGGGAAGUUCUUCAAGAGUUUGAAGACUGGAUUGGAGGUCACAAAUUGUGGAAACAGAAACAAGGAGAAUCCCUCAACAGUUCUGCAUUCGUUACUUGUGGUAAUUGGGAUUUGAAGACGAAGGUCCCUGAGCAGUGCAAGGUUUCAAAAAUAAAAUUGCCAUCUUACUUUAUGGAGUGGAUCAAUUUGAAGGAUAUCUACCUCAACUUCUACAAUAGAAGAGCAACUGGAAUGAUGACAAUGAUGAGGGAGCUUCAAAUCCCAAUUGCUGGAAGCCACCAUCUCGGGAUGGAUGACGCGAAAAACAUUACAAGAGUUGUUCAGCGCAUGCUUGCUGAUGGUGCUGUGAUACAAAUCACCGCGAGGAGGCAACCGGAUACAAGUGAUGUGAAAUUCCUUUUCAAGAACAGAAUCAGGUAA